Molecule: ribosomal RNA, 639 nt
Filed under: Xiphinema brevicolle
Lineage: Eukaryota; Metazoa; Nematoda; Enoplea; Dorylaimida; Longidoridae
Description: SSU rRNA
Rfam family: Eukaryotic small subunit ribosomal RNA
Source: RNAcentral
GGCGAUCAGAUACCGCCCUAGUUCUAACCGUAAACGAUGACAACCAGCGAUUAGUCGGUGUUAAUAUACGACCCGACUAGCAGCUUCCGGGAAACCAAAGUUUUUCGUUUCCGGGGGAAGUAUGGUUGCAAAGCUGAAACUUAAAGGAAUUGACGGAAGGGCACCACCAGGAGUGGAGCCUGCGGCUUAAUUUGACUCAACACGGGAAAACUCACCCGGCCCGGACACCGUAAGGAUUGACAGACUGAGAGCUCUUUCUUAAUUCGGUGGGUGGUGGUGCAUGGCCGUUCUUAGUUGGUGGAGCGAUUUGUCUGGUUAAUUCCGAUAACGAACGAGACUCUGGCCUAUUAAAUAGUCGGUAUAUCCGGAAAAGUUUACCGUACUUCUUAGAGGGACAAACGGCGUCUAGCCGCGUGAAAUAGAGCAAUAACAGGUCUGUGAUGCCCUUAGAUGUCCGGGGCUGCACGCGCGCUACACUGAAAGAAUCAGUAUGCGCUUUAACCUAGUCCGGAAGGAUUGGGUAACCCGAGCAAAUUCUUUCGUGCUUGGGAUAGGGAAUUGCAAUUAUUUCCCUUAAACGAGGAAUUCCCAGUAAAUGCGGGUCAUAAGCUCGCGUUGAUUACGUCCCUGCCCUUUGUA